Molecule: transfer RNA, 69 nt
Filed under: Ictidomys tridecemlineatus (thirteen-lined ground squirrel)
Lineage: Eukaryota; Metazoa; Chordata; Mammalia; Rodentia; Sciuridae
Description: Spermophilus tridecemlineatus (thirteen-lined ground squirrel) tRNA
Rfam family: tRNA
About the family: Transfer RNA (tRNA) molecules are approximately 80 nucleotides in length. Their secondary structure includes four short double-helical elements and three loops (D, anti-codon, and T loops).
Source: Rfam by way of RNAcentral
GGGGUUGAGGCUCAGAGGUAGAGUGCUCGCCUAGCAUGUGUGAGGCCCUGAGUUCGAGCCUCAGCACCA